Molecule: ribosomal RNA, 406 nt
Filed under: uncultured bacterium
Lineage: Bacteria
Description: partial 16S ribosomal RNA
Rfam family: Bacterial small subunit ribosomal RNA
Source: RNAcentral
AUUGAACGCUGGCGGCAGGCCUAACACAUGCAAGUCGAACGAGUGGCGGACGGGUGAGUAAUGUCUGGGAACAUGCCCGAUGGAGGGGGAUAUAUACUGGAAACGGUAGCUAAUACCGCAUACCAUCGGAUGUGCCCAGAUGGGAUUAGCUAGUAGGUGGGGUAACGGCUCACCUAUGCGACGAUCCCUAGCUGGUCUGCUAGGAUGACCAGCCACACUUGAACUGAGACAAGGUCCAGACUCCUACGGGAGGCAGCAGUGGUGAAUAUUGCACAAGUGGCGCAAGCCUGAUGCAGACAUGCGGCGUGUAUGAAGAAGGCCUUCGUGUUGUAAAGUACUUGCAGCGAGGAGGCGUUACUCGCAGAAGAGGCACCGACUAACUCCAUGCCAGCGGCCGCGGUAAUUC